AAUAGAUACCCGGGUAGUCCACGCUGUAAACGAUGAUUACUGGUUGUUAGCGAUAUAUAGCUAGUGACUGAGCGAAAGCAUUAAGUAAUCCACCUGGGGAGUACGUCGGCAACGAUGAAACUCAAAGGAAUUGACGGGGGCCCGCACAAGCGGAGGAACAUGUGGUUUAAUUCGAUGAUACGCGAGGAACCUUACCUGGGUUUAAAUGGGGAGUGACAGGUGUCGAAAGAUGCUUUUCCUUCGGGACACUCUUCAAGGUGCUGCAUGGUUGUCGUCAGCUCGUGCCGUGAGGUGUCGGGUUAAGUCCCAUAACGAGCGCAACCCUUGCCGAUAGUUGCCAUCACGUAAAGGUGGGCACUCUAUCGGGACUGCCGGUGUAAACCGAGAGGAAGGUGGGGAUGACGUCAAAUCAGCAGGCCCUUACAUCCAGGGCUACACACGUGUUACAAUAGCCAGUACAGAGGGCCGNUACCCCGCGAGGGGAUGCCAAUCUCGAAAGCUGGUCUCAGUUCGAUGUAGACUUGACGAACCGUC
Molecule: ribosomal RNA, 534 nt
Filed under: uncultured bacterium
Lineage: Bacteria
Description: bacterial SSU rRNA
Rfam family: Bacterial small subunit ribosomal RNA
Source: RNAcentral